GGCAAAAUGCCUGAAACAGGGCUAUUUUGAUAGAAUAGAGUAUGUAAUAAAUUUUACUUUUGCUA
Molecule: transfer RNA, 65 nt
Filed under: Staphylinidae sp. BMNH 1274633
Lineage: Eukaryota; Metazoa; Arthropoda; Insecta; Coleoptera; Staphylinidae
Description: tRNA-Ile
Source: RNAcentral